UACUCCUACGGGAGGCAGCAGUGGGGAAUCUUAGACAAUGGGCGCAAGCCUGAUCUAGCCAUGCCGCGUGAGCGAUGAAGGCCUUAGGGUUGUAAAGCUCUUUCAGUGGGGAAGAUAAUGACUGUACCCACAGAAGAAGCCCCGGCUAACUCCGUGCCAGCAGCCGCGGUAAUA
This 174-nucleotide ribosomal RNA is filed under the name uncultured bacterium. RNAcentral's name for it is "partial 16S ribosomal RNA". It matches the Rfam family "Bacterial small subunit ribosomal RNA", at positions 334 to 525 of the family's 1533-position model. The record is from RNAcentral.